CGCACUGUGGCUUAGUGGUUAGCACAUUUACCUCACACCGGCAGGGUUGGAGGUUCGAUUCCUGCCGCUGCCC
This is a non-coding RNA of Ameiurus melas (black bullhead), 73 nucleotides long. The record is from the annotation of a GenBank genome assembly. Lineage: Eukaryota; Metazoa; Chordata; Actinopteri; Siluriformes; Ictaluridae.